UCCCUUUUAUUUACCCAAACUAUGUGAUUGAAUAAAUCCUCCUCCAUCUGUUGCGGGUCGAGGACUCCUUCCCCUUCUUCAAACUUUGAUUCAUAUUUUCCAUAGGGAUAUCUCUUAUCAACGAUAAAAUAAGAUCCUUUUUGAAUCAUAUCUAAGGGAUUCCUUGGUUCGGACCGAAGAAGCAAUGUCACUCGAUCAUUAUCAAACUGACUGCAA
This is a non-coding RNA of Arachis ipaensis, 216 nucleotides long. Lineage: Eukaryota; Viridiplantae; Streptophyta; Magnoliopsida; Fabales; Fabaceae. The record is from RefSeq and is a predicted model, not a curated record.